AUUGAACGCUGGCGGCAUGCCUUACACAUGCAAGUCGAACGGCAGCACGGGUGCUUGCACCUGGUGGCGAGUGGCGAACGGGUGAGUAAUACAUCGGAACGUACCUUAUCGUGGGGGAUAACGCAGCGAAAGCUGUGCUAAUACCGCAUACGCCCUGAGGGGGAAAGCGGGGGAUCGCAAGACCUCGCGCGAUUAGAGCGGCCGAUGCCUGAUUAGCUAGUUGGUGGGGUAAAAGCCCACCAAGGCGACGAUCAGUAGCUGGGCUGAGAGAAAGAUCAGCCACACGGGGACUGGGACACGGGCCAGACUCCUACGGGGGGCAGCAGUGGGGAAUUUUGGACAAUGGGGGCAACCCUGAUCCAGCAAUGGCGCGUGAAUGAAGAAGGCCUUCGGGUUGUAAAGCUCUUUUGUCAGGGAAGAAACACCGGCUCUAACACAGUCCGGGAAUGACGGUACCUGAAGAAUAAGCACCGGCUAACUACGUGCCAGCAGCCGCGGUAA
This 501-nucleotide ribosomal RNA is filed under the name uncultured bacterium. RNAcentral describes it as "partial 16S ribosomal RNA". It matches the Rfam family "Bacterial small subunit ribosomal RNA", at positions 29 to 523 of the family's 1533-position model. The record is from RNAcentral.